AUGGCGCGGCGCCGGCCUUGUCCGCGGCGUCGUCGGCUGAGUCGUCGGCAGCUGGGCCGUCAGCGCUGUCGUCGUCCGAGGGCGCGGCGGCCGCCGAUGUGCUUCCAGGCUUCUUCUUGGUCUUCUUCUUGGGCACCUCCGGUGCGGGCGACGGCGCCAGGUCCUCAGCUUUUUUGGGCUUGAACAACUCCUUGGGCUGCAGGAACUUGGAGACGGCGUAGAUGGCGAGAGGGUCAUCGUCCCUGACGGUGGCCUGGAUGGUGGAGGUGGUGACCGUGGUGUCGAGCGUGACGGUGUCUGCCUCGGUCUGCGCUUCGUAGGUGUAGUCCUUCUUGGCAACGCUGGUGCUGGCGAGCGUGGUCACCUUGCCUUUAUUGGACUUGAGGAACUGCAUGGAGUAGUAGUCCGGCACGGCGUGGUAGAGCAGGAUGGCCGUCUUGGCCUUGGCCGUCAGGUUCUUGAACUUUGGCAUGAAGGCGGCCACGGCGGCGUCGACAGGGCAGAAGAGCGUGAGCGCAGUGUCCUUGGUUCCGUUGAUGGUAUCGAAGGCUUUGGCAUCGGCAGCUAGGAG
RNAcentral lists this long non-coding RNA (571 nucleotides) under Setaria italica (foxtail millet). Its description in RNAcentral is "long non-coding RNA (SITA_LNC004521)". The record is from RNAcentral. Lineage: Eukaryota; Viridiplantae; Streptophyta; Magnoliopsida; Poales; Poaceae.